UAGGGAAUCUUCCACAAUGGGCGCAAGCCUGAUGGAGCAACACCGCGUGAGUGAAGAAGGGUUUCGGCUCGUAAAGCUCUGUUGUUAAAGAAGAACACGUAUGAGAGUAACUGUUUACCCAGUGACGGUAUUUAACCAGAAAGCCACGGCUAACUACGUGCCAG
This 164-nucleotide ribosomal RNA is filed under the name uncultured bacterium. RNAcentral's name for it is "partial 16S ribosomal RNA". It matches the Rfam family "Bacterial small subunit ribosomal RNA", at positions 355 to 511 of the family's 1533-position model. The record is from RNAcentral.